CUCGACCUUAUAAACCUUGACCUC
This 24-nucleotide ribosomal RNA is filed under the name Russula aeruginea. Its description in RNAcentral is "partial 28S ribosomal RNA". The record is from RNAcentral. Lineage: Eukaryota; Fungi; Basidiomycota; Agaricomycetes; Russulales; Russulaceae.